Molecule: ribosomal RNA, 510 nt
Filed under: uncultured bacterium
Lineage: Bacteria
Description: partial 16S ribosomal RNA
Rfam family: Bacterial small subunit ribosomal RNA
Source: RNAcentral
GACGAACGCUGGCGGCGUGCUUAACACAUGCAAGUCGAACGAAGAGCGAUGGAAGCUUGCUUCUAUCAAUCUUAGUGGCGGACGGGUGAGUAACGCGUAAUCAACCUGCCCUUCAGAGGGGGACAACAGUUGGAAACGACUGCUAAUACCGCAUACGAUCUAACCUCGGCAUCGAGGAAAGAUGAAAGGUGGCCUCUAUGUAUAAGCUAUCACUGAAGGAGGGGAUUGCGUCUGAUUAGCUAGUUGGAGGGGUAACGGCCCACCAAGGCGAUGAUCAGUAGCCGGUCUGAGAGGAUGAACGGCCACAUUGGGACUGAGACACGGCCCAGACUCCUACGGGAGGCAGCAGUGGGGAAUCUUCCGCAAUGGACGAAAGUCUGACGGAGCAACGCCGCGUGAGUGAUGACGGCCUUCGGGUUGUAAAGCUCUGUUAAUCGGGACGAAAGGCCUUCUUGCGAAUAGUGAGAAGGAUUGACGGUACCGGAAUAGAAAGCCACGGCUAACUACGUG